AUUGAACGCUGGCGGCAUGCUUUACACAUGCAAGUCGGACGGCAGCGGGGUAGUGCUUGCACUACUGCCGGCGAGUGGCGAACGGGUGAGUAAUAUAUUGGAACGUACCGAGUAAUGGGGGAUAACCAAUCGAAAGAUUGGCUAAUACCGCAUACGCCCUGAGGAGGAAAGCAGGGGACCUUCGGGCCUUGCGUUAUUCGAGCGGCCAAUAUCUGAUUAGCUAGUUGGUGGGGUAAGGGCCUACCAAGGCGACGAUCAGUAGCGGGUCUGAGAGGAUGAUCCGCCACACUGGGACUGAGACACGGCCCAGACUCCUACGGGAGGCAGCAGUGGGGAAUUUUGGACAAUGGGCGCAAGCCUGAUCCAGCCAUGCCGCGUGUCUGAAGAAGGCCUUCGGGUUGUAAAGGACUUUUGUUAGGGAAGAAAAAGGAGCGGUUAAUACCCGUUUCUGCUGACGGUACCUAAAGAAUAAGCACCGGCUAACUACGUG
Molecule: ribosomal RNA, 490 nt
Filed under: uncultured bacterium
Lineage: Bacteria
Description: partial 16S ribosomal RNA
Rfam family: Bacterial small subunit ribosomal RNA
Source: RNAcentral